RNAcentral lists this long non-coding RNA (974 nucleotides) under Homo sapiens (human). RNAcentral's name for it is "HSALNT0092327". The record is from RNAcentral. Lineage: Eukaryota; Metazoa; Chordata; Mammalia; Primates; Hominidae.
CCAGGGGAUUCACAAGCACACUAAAGUUUGAGACGCAUGGGCUUGGAUGACUCCUUUAUAGUAAGGUCACAAUGAAUAAACAAAAUCUGAUUCAGAGACUAUGCCAAGCCAGGUGAUAAGAUCUUGAAGAACCAAGAUCCAGAGAGAAGUGAAAGGAAUCAGUGUUCCAUGGAACGGAAGUGCAUCAGGAAAGGAAAGAGAAAACAGAUUCAGACUAAAGCACGUGCCUGACAAUGUGUCUGCUGCAUUGCAUGAGGCAGCCUUGCUGCAGCCAACCAUAGUGGGCUUCAAGAAAGGCCUCCUCUGCUAAAAAUGCUCUCUGAUUAGCCAUUCACUGCUUCCUGAACUAUGAAGACAUCUUCUAGGAAUACUCAGGAUCUUCUGCUAUGUGGCUUUAAUUUAUUUUAAGAUUAAUUCCUCAUUACCUUCUUACACAAAGCCACCAUUAGCAUAUCAAGCACAGCUGUACAAAUUUUUAAAAGGCCAAAAGAUGUAUCUGCCAAUUCUAGGAGGAUAUAAACCUGAAGGCACAAAUCUGGGCUGGAGCACAUGGUUUCCCUUGUGAGAAGAAAAAGUCUCCUUCCUCUGAAUGGACACACCUUGCACACCAGGGCACAAGGUUUGUCUAGAAGAGCACAGCUGAACAUCAUAAAGUGCAGAACCACACACCUGGCAUCCUUGUCCCUACACAAGGUAUGUUGCUGUUAAAGUAUAAUUUGUUACUCUCCAAAGCACACUCACAAUUCCCUACUUGGGUCCCUUGUUGCAUGUUACUGCUCCUCAUUUAUGCAUUUGGAUGCUUUCUUAUAUUUUUCCUCAACCUCUACCACAUUCAGUUAGGCACUCAGCCUAUAUUUCAUGUAUACCUAUGUAGCAGGUCUUAUGACCAGAGUUGGGGAUGCACAGAAAUUGCAGAUUUCUUAUUCAUGACAUUACUUCUCAUCCCCACAACUCAAUAUGAUAAUUCCUUUCCC